AGGGAAGGGAGAAGGACUAAAGGCAUGAAACCGGUCUCUCCCCAGAAACGAUGUCGUUUGUUGCAAAAAAGCAGAUAAACCGAGAAAACUGCGUAUGCGGUUGUCUUGCUAUUAAACCGGGCAGUGUGUACUGCAUGCGCGGUUUAGGCUUUCAUGAAUAAAGAAAAAAAUGUUGUGACAUUUUUUAUAUUAUGUAUGGGUAUAUCAGCUUUAAAAUUAGACGUUAAGUACUGCUACAUAAUGCAAGGACAAAAUCGGCUGGUUCACAACGUCGUAAGUCCGAAAAAUGAUACGAUAUUUUCGGUUUUUACUGUAUAAUCCAUUGUUAACCAAAGAUGGCAACGCAUGUGAAUUGAUUGAAUGAAAAAGAGUAAAAAAAUCAAAGAGUAAAAAAAGAAAAGAAAAAUAGAAGAAAUGAAAUACUGCAAUAGUUGAUUGAAUUCAAUUUGAUUUUAUAUUGUAAGACCAGUUUAGAAAUAAAUUUUAUAUGCAAUAAAUUUGCUUGAUCUUCCGUACUUUCGUAAAGGUUUAUGACAAUUGAAUGUCUAUGGAAAAAUUUAAUUAACCAUGUAUUAUUUCAAAAUGUUAUAUUAUUAACACUGAUUGUAUUCAGCUGGUAUGAACCAUAUGCUGGUUCCUAAAAUUAAGAUAUCUCUAAGUUUGAAAAUUUAAAUCACAAAUGUGUAUGGUGAAUGAUUGUUGAUGUCUUAGACGUGAUGGCUCCGAGAAAUUCAAUUAAACGAGAAAUGGAUGACCUCUCCUCCGACUGUUCCUCCGACUCAUUCCGAAAGUCGAGUAAGCGU
Molecule: non-coding RNA, 803 nt
Organism: Parasteatoda tepidariorum (common house spider)
Lineage: Eukaryota; Metazoa; Arthropoda; Arachnida; Araneae; Theridiidae
Source: RefSeq, a predicted model, not a curated record